This 1087-nucleotide long non-coding RNA is filed under the name Oncorhynchus kisutch (coho salmon). RNAcentral's name for it is "lncRNA (ENSOKIG00005042537.1)". The record is from RNAcentral. Lineage: Eukaryota; Metazoa; Chordata; Actinopteri; Salmoniformes; Salmonidae.
AUGUGUAUCAAAAGACACUAUUGUAAGUGUAUGUGUUAUGGGGACUGGUGGGGUUUGACACUGGUGGGGUUUGACACUGGUGGUUCAGUUUGCCCUGUUAAUGUGAACCAGGCCUCUCUCACACAACUUUCUGCCUCCCAUUUCACUGUGUGUGUGUGUGUGUGUGUGUGUGUGUGUGUGUGUGUGUGUGUGUGUGUGUGUGUGUGUGUGUGUGUGUGUGUGUGUGUGUGUGUGUGUGUGUGUGUGUGUGUGUGUGUGUGUGUGUGUGUGUGUGUGUGUGUGUGUGCGUUCCAGAUGGAGGUGGUGGAGAUAGCUCUGGACCAGUGUGGCCCGUCCAGCGAGAGGAAGAUCGCAGUCAUAGACAAGAACCGUGACCUGUACCUGACCGCUGUGCAUCGCAUCAACAGAGAACACAACAUCUGCAAGAUAGGUCCACACCAUGUCCUAGAAUGACUCCGCUAACAUCCUGUGUGGUAUUCAGGACACACAGUUCACUGUGUGGCACUAUCCCGGUGCGGUCUUCUAGCCAGCGGACCUGCUGGCUAAAACACUCUACAUGAAAGACGCCAGGUAACAUGAGCGCACACACACACACACACACACACACACACACACACACACAGAGAGAAAUCAGUUCCCCAUUAUCGGAAAUAAAAGGUACUGCAUCAUCUGAAAUGUUUUCAUGUUGUGGUAAAGCUGUUUAAAAGAGAUUCCUGAGUGGCUGCCCCCAGAAUGUAUUUUUAUAUCUGUCGGUCUGUCCCCCUCCACAGUGAGUUCAGCCGUGCGGCCCACAUCCUGAACUAUGUGGGGACCCAGGUGACGGCUCGUUGGUGUACAGCAGCUUACCUACACCACCGUGCUGCAUGAGUACAGCGCCUCCUUUCGCUGGGAGGACGCACUGCGCCUCUGCCGCUUUGCCAAGGUAACACACACCUGACAGAUUCUCGUGGGGACAUUCUAUGGUGACUCCCUGGUCCGGUGCAGAAUGAGUCUGAUCUGUAUAGAGCAGAGCACACAUCAUAUUCAACACCAAAUACUGUACAAAACACAUCUUUAAAAAACAUUAUGUUGAAAAUAGAAUAAUGGU